AGUCACUGACAUUAGAUACCCCCGUAGUCCCAGCCGUAAACUAUGCGCGUUAGGUGUACUGGUGACCACGAGUCACCGAGGUGCCGAAGGGAAACCGUGAAACGUGCCGCCUGGGAAGUACGGUCGCAAGGCUGAAACUUAAAGGAAUUGGCGGGGGAGCACAACAACGGGUGGAGCCUGCGGUUUAAUUGGACUCAACGCCGGACAACUCACCGGGACGACAGCAAUAUGUAGGCCAGGCUGAAGACCUUGCCUGAAUCGCUG
This 264-nucleotide ribosomal RNA is filed under the name uncultured archaeon. RNAcentral's name for it is "partial 16S ribosomal RNA". It matches the Rfam family "Archaeal small subunit ribosomal RNA", at positions 718 to 982 of the family's 1478-position model. The record is from RNAcentral.